This 541-nucleotide long non-coding RNA is filed under the name Setaria viridis. RNAcentral's name for it is "long non-coding RNA (SVIR_LNC010815)". Lineage: Eukaryota; Viridiplantae; Streptophyta; Magnoliopsida; Poales; Poaceae. The record is from RNAcentral.
UGCCAUGGAGGAUCUGGAAGAAAAGAGUACCCGCCUCUUGAUAGAAUUAGGCCGGAUCGAGAGGGAGAUUAAGAAAAAGCGUGGUCAAUAAAUGUGUUGGUACCUUUUGUUCUAAGGGCUACUUGUACCGUGUCGUCCAUGUACCCUAUUGCUUGUACCGAAUAAUAAAUUGGCUAGACUAAUUGAAUGUUUCAUCCUUAAGGCGAUGUUAUCUUUGCAUCGGCUAUAUAAACACGAGCCAAUAGGAGUUGGCCACAUCAUCUUGAUGCACCUUAUCGUCAGUUAUGCAUCCACCCAUAUACUGGGAUAGUAUCUCUUCAGAUAUCUUCCAUUGAAGGCUCUUGUGAAUUCUUCUUCUUCGAUAGUUUCUAGUAUAUACGCGUUUCCCGGAGCGCAUCGGCCGAUUCUAUACGGCCCUUCCCAAGUAGGUGACCAUUUACCGAACUUAGGAUCCUUAGACACUAUCGGCAGCACCAACUUCCAUACCAAAUCUCCUUGGGAAAAUUGUUUGACCUUGACCUUCUUGUCGUACCACCUGGCC